AUGGUGAACACCAUGAACUUUGGCUAAUGUUUCCUUACAGUUAACAUAGCCAUCAAUGCAGGGUCUUGAGAGAAAACCAUCAUUCUGACACCUUCAGACUCCCUUGUUUCAUAUGUUUCAACAAAUUUAGUUGAAAGCUUAUUAUUCCUUUCUUGGACAUUAGUUGCAUUUAGGUUUCAACAAAUCCUAAAAGAAAUACCUCUUUUCAUGAGCUAAGCCCCUUAGAAGUUUCAACCAUCCUAUCUACAUUCAUAUGAAGAGUCCCAAAUUUGCAGAAAUAAAAGAUGUAGCAAAACCAUCAAAGGACAACCAUGAUGCAUACGAGUACCAUCCAGCUUUGACAGAUUUUCAUCAUAGGAUGAGAGGAACGAGUUUUCGUAUCCUUUUUGAGAUGGUUAACUUUGACUGGAUCUAUUACCACUUACUGUUUCUAUCCUGUUUCUGCUCUUAUGCAGUGCAGAUGCUUCAACAUAUAUGUGAAGGAGUUGCUCAAGUUUCAAAAUAGCUUUUCUACUCCAAAGUGCAAGUGCUGCCCUUCAUUUUUAAUAAUUUUGGUUGACUUCUUUAGUGCAAGAAAUUGUUUCAAUUGUAGACUAAAUUAUUAUGUUACUGUUUUAGGUUUGCUUGGAGGGUUUCUGACUGUACUCCAAGGAUUUUUCACUUAGUUUGUCUUACAAUAUUUGUAGAACUUGUUACCAUUAACUCAUUGUAAAUGUUUUCCCUCGACAUGCUUAAUUUUUGCAUAACUUUGUGAUGGCCGUCGAGACUUGACAAUAACUGUGCUAUUAUAAUCCAUGUUGGCAUGUUAAAUUUUUGUUAUGAAACUUUAAUUUACUAUCCCUCUAACUAAUGCAUGACUCAAAUUCCCUUUUGGCAAAUUCCUCGUUUCUUGUUGUUACCUUGAGCAAUUGUUUUCUUGAAUCAGAAAAAAUUAAUAAAUAGCAAAAUUUGAUUCUAUUGUUUUUCUUAAUUGCAGUAAAGCCAUGUUGCUAUGGGCAAUUCUACCUGUUAAAUGAACAAGAAAUGCUAGGAAGUUUUGACUUUAGAUAUCAGUAUCUUAGAUCAUGAUAUCACUGUUUGUGACCUGCUGCACAGAUUAAGAAAGUAAAUUUGUGCCCCACACCAAUUUACUUAAUAAGUAUAUGUACAUAUACUUAUUGGCAAUUCUACCUGUUAAAUGAACAAGAAAUGCUAGGAAGUUUUGACUUUAGAUAUCAGUAUCUUAGAUCUUGAUAUCACUGUUUGUGACCUGCAGCACAGAUUGAGAAAGUUAAUUUGUGCCCCACACCAAUUACAUACAUACCAUAUAUAUAUAUAUAUAUAUAUAUAUAUAUAUNNNN
Molecule: long non-coding RNA, 1340 nt
Filed under: Elaeis guineensis (African oil palm)
Lineage: Eukaryota; Viridiplantae; Streptophyta; Magnoliopsida; Arecales; Arecaceae
Description: long non-coding RNA (EGUI_LNC036838)
Source: RNAcentral